CUGAGCUAUACAUGCAAACAGAGUUCCGACCAGAGAUGGAAGGAAUGCUUUUAUUAGAUCAAAACCAAUCGGUAGCGGGCUUGCCUUGCUCACCGUUUGACUUGRUGACUCUGAAUAACUUUGUGCUGAUCGCACGGUCACGUACCGGCGACGCAUCUUUCAAAUGUCUGCCCUAUCAACUGUCGAUGGUAGUUUCUUCGACUACCAUGGUUGUUACGGGUAACGGGGAAUCAGGGUUCGAUUCCGGAGAGGGAGCCUGAGAAACGGCUACCACAUCCAAGGAAGGCAGCAGGCGCGCAAAUUACCCACUCCCGGCACGGGGAGGUAGUGACGAAAAAUAACGAUACGGGACUCAUCCGAGGCCCCGUAAUCGGAAUGAGUACACUUUAAAUCCUUUAACGAGGACCCAUUGGAGGGCAAGUCUGGUGCCAGCAGCCGCGGUAACUCCAGCUCCAAUAGCGUAUAUUAAAGUUGUUGCGGUUAAAAAGCUCGUAGUUGAAUCUGUGUCCCACACUGUCGGUUCACCGCUCGCGGUGUUCAACUGGCAUGUCUGUGGGACGUCCUACCGGUGGGCGCAGCCCGUCAAACGGCGGCCCAACUUAAAAUCCUACCACGGUGCUCUUCACCGAGUGUCGAGGUGGGCCGGUACGUUUACUUUGAACAAAUUAGAGUGCUUAAAGCAGGCUCAUUCGCCUGAAUAUUCUGUGCAUGGAAUAAUGGAAUAGGACCUCGGUUCUAUUUUGUUGGUUUUCGGAACUCCGAGGUAAUGAUUAAUAGGGACAACUGGGGGCAUUCGUAUUGUGACGUUAGAGGUGAAAUUCUUGGAUCGUCGCAAGACGGACAGAAGCGAAAGCAUUUGCCAAAUGUGUUUUCAUCAAUCAAGAACGAAAGUUAGAGGUUCGAAGGCGAUCAGAUACCGCCCUAGUUCUAACCAUAAACGAUGCCAGCUAGCGAUCCGCCGAAGUUCCUCCGAUGACUCGGCGGGCAGCUUCCGGGAAACCAAAGCUUUUGGGUUCCGGGGGAAGUAUGGGUUGCAAAGCUGAAACUUAAAGGAAUUGACGGAAGGGCACCACCAGGAGUGGAGCCUGCGGCUUAAUUUGACUCAACACGGAAACCUCAC
RNAcentral lists this ribosomal RNA (1120 nucleotides) under Stephanocircus pectinipes. Its description in RNAcentral is "SSU rRNA". It matches the Rfam family "Eukaryotic small subunit ribosomal RNA", at positions 160 to 1229 of the family's 1831-position model. The record is from RNAcentral. Lineage: Eukaryota; Metazoa; Arthropoda; Insecta; Siphonaptera; Stephanocircidae.